GUAGAUCCUUGCUCGCUGCCUCACAGUGAGAGAGAGAUCCAGGAAGUUGUUGCCAACUUCUUAGACAUCGUAUCAUUACGGCGUAGGAUGACGAGGCAAAGAAGACUGGCAAAGGGAAGACGAAGAAGAAGCCAGAGAGAGAACAAGCGAAGGAGGAGGAGAAAGACAGUCAGGUGCAGCAGAAGGAGGAAAUGGUGGAAAGUAAGCCAGAAGACAAUAAAAAGUCAGGGUUGGGAGGAUGGCCCCUUCCCCAGAGGACCUCUACUUCUCCUCACUGCCCUUAAUGCUCUCUAGUGGAACACAAGUGUUGUUAUGAGUCAACCUGUUGCAACAUGUAACACACUGUGAGCCCUUACUGUGGAUCAUUUGUCUGAUGAUGC
Long non-coding RNA from Salvelinus sp. IW2-2015, 380 nucleotides. RefSeq lists it as uncharacterized. The record is from RefSeq and is a predicted model, not a curated record. NCBI's taxonomy places the organism in Eukaryota, Metazoa, Chordata, Actinopteri, Salmoniformes, Salmonidae.